GGAUGUUGGCUUAGAAGCAGCCAUCAUUUAAAGAAAGCGUAACAGCUCACUGGUCUAAAUAAGGGUCUUUGCGCCGAAAAUGUAACGGGGCUAAAGCCAUGCACCGAAGCUGAGGAUAAGACAGUCGUAGUGGCUGUUUUGUGGUAGCGGAGCGUUCCGUAAGUCUGUGAAGGGGGACCCGUGAGGGCCCCUGGAGAUAUCGGAAGUGCGAAUGUUGACAUGAGUAACGAUAAAGGGAGUGAGAGACUCCCUCGCCGAAAGACCAAGGGUUCCUGCUUAAAGUUAAUCUGAGCAGGGUUAGCCGGCCCCUAAGACGAGGCGGACACGCGUAGUCGAUGGGAACCACGUUAAUAUUCGUGGGCCUGGUGGUAGUGACGGAUCUCGUGUGUUGUACAUUCUUAUUGGAUUGAAUGUGCGGCGAAGAGGCUCCAGGAAAUAGCUCCACCGUAUAGACCGUACCCGACACCGCCCCCCGCUGUCCGGCAGCGUCCACCAAGGCCCUCGAGAGCACUAUGUUGCAGCAACUCGGCAAAUUGCACGCGUCACUUCGGAAGCACCGCUACCCCUUCCUACGCAACUCGUAUGGGGUGGCACUGACCAGGGGGUAGCGCCUGUUUAUCCAAAACACAGCGCUCUCCGCCGUAGCCCUACGACGCACAGGGUCCCACGCCUGCCCG
Molecule: ribosomal RNA, 677 nt
Filed under: Klebsiella pneumoniae
Lineage: Bacteria; Pseudomonadati; Pseudomonadota; Gammaproteobacteria; Enterobacterales; Enterobacteriaceae
Description: partial 23S ribosomal RNA
Rfam family: Bacterial large subunit ribosomal RNA
Source: RNAcentral